Long non-coding RNA from Papilio machaon (common yellow swallowtail), 110 nucleotides. RefSeq lists it as uncharacterized. NCBI's taxonomy places the organism in Eukaryota, Metazoa, Arthropoda, Insecta, Lepidoptera, Papilionidae. The record is from RefSeq and is a predicted model, not a curated record. The transcript has 2 exons.
UGAAGAGAUACUUGCCCAUGUCUGUGAGCGCAGCUGCCGAGUCGAUAGCGUCGCGGCCAACUCGAUUCCUUUCCAGAAAACAUUGGACGCGUUGGCUGAGGCGGGAAAAA